Molecule: ribosomal RNA, 373 nt
Filed under: uncultured organism
Description: bacterial SSU rRNA
Rfam family: Bacterial small subunit ribosomal RNA
Source: RNAcentral
CGUAGGGUGCGAGCGUUGUCCGGAAUUAUUGGGCGUAAAGAGCUUGUAGGCGGUUUGUCGCGUCUGCUGUGAAAAUCCGGGGCUCAACCCCGGACUUGCAGUGGGUACGGGCAGACUAGAGUGUGGUAGGGGAGACUGGAAUUCCUGGUGUAGCGGUGGAGUGCGCAGAUAUCAGGAGGAACACCGAUGGCGAAGGCAGGUCUCUGGGCCACUACUGACGCUGAGAAGCGAAAGCAUGGGGAGCGAACAGGAUUAGAUACCCUGGUAGUCCAUGCCGUAAACGUUGGGAACUAGGUGUGGGUCUCAUUCCACGAGAUCCGUGCCGCAGCUAACGCAUUAAGUUCCCCGCCUGGGGAGUACGGCCGCAAGGCUA